CAAGUUUUUAUUAUAUAAAAACUUUGCCCAACGGUUAAAAAGCUAGAAGACGCUCUCCGAAUUUCCUCUCAGAUUGAGUCCCUAAAUGUGUUCGUUGGACGCGUUAACGACUGGAAAUCUAUUUGCGAGUGGAAUCCUUCUAAUGGCGGCCUUGAUAUGUGGAGUGAGUUUGAAAUCCAAAAAAUUCUCUGGAUUUUUAUUCUGGGCAUCUUUCAGAACAUGUUUCUUGCAAUGGCGGCUAGUUUGCAAUCUCCUACAAAUAUUAUUACACUUUCAGUAUAUUACUCUUUUAGUAUGCGCCUGGAAUUUUCAUCAAUGCUAUUUUGAAUUUUUUGAAAUUGGAAACUAUUUUCCUGAACGAUUCUUCCUAUAUUAUUAUUCGUAUUUAAAAUUGAUAAAAUUAUGUUAAAUCUUAAUGGCACCCACUGGAUGGAACCCUUCUGCAAGUCCCAGUUAUGUCCCAUGCCUAUAUAUGGGGAGGCCUCAAACAAUAGUAUCGUUGCUCCGAGCAAAACGCAAAACUCUCUUGGCAGUUCUGUGUCUUUGGAAAACCCUGAGUUUUCAAUUCAUCCAAGAGCAAAAUAUUCCAUGGAAUACUCUCAGAAGGUUAUUCUUCAUGCAGGUGAUGCACUUUUUUUCAUGUAGGCUGGUAAGGUUAAGCUCUUACUUUCUAUGAGAGUAUUGCUAGCAUUGUUAGCAUGCUUCCCUUAACUUUCUUUUUUUUAUCUUAAUUGGCCCUUAAGUUUCAGAAUAACACUGGUCUUUCUUUCUCCAAUAUCAAUUCUAUCUCUCUUCAAGUUUAGUACAUCUUAUUCAUAAGUGACAGAGAGCAUCUGCCCUCUUCUAUAAAGUUCUUUUAUUUUAGAUUUGAUUAUGAGUGUAGCCAAUGUAGUGCUGUCAGUCUGGCAAUUAUACUUUGAAUUUGGAGAUAAGAAGUUAGAAAUUUCCAACAGUGAUUUUGAUGUGGAAUUUACGCAUUUUUAUGAAAAUGGAAGGCAAGAGUGAUACUGACUAGGAUGUGAGUGAGUGUACAUUCAAUAAUACUUCCUAGCUAAAUGCGAUAUGUGCUUUUUCCCUUUUACUCGGGUUGGUGGGUCACUUGAUCAUCUCCUAUUUUAUAAGAUUGAGUACUUCAUUUUAUAAUAUUUGCUUUUUUUCAGUUUAUUUGCCCAUUUGAAAUUAUUUCUCCUUUUGACCAGAAGUUCAAAGCUAUUUAAUCCUAUUGAAUGUGUUGUCCUUGAAGGAAAAAAAAAAAACAUUGAAUCUUUUUUGAUACAACAAAUACUUCUAAUCUAUUCUCUUUUCUCUACAACCAGUUUUGGAAACUCUCCUUACCCUAAGGGAAUUGUUGAAAUUUGGAACCAACCAAAUACUUGGAUGCCUUAGCACUUUGAUUUUGUACUAUAGCCACUGUUUUAAACAGGAAAACCGAACCUUAAAGUAAAGUUGCUUGGUGCUUUGUGAGUUGACUUUUCUGUUGACAGCUGUUCUAGAGAAUCAUAAAAGACAUAGUGAGCUAGUGAAGCAUAUACUGUGAGGGCAUCUGUUCAUAAGACAAAGUUAUAAAGUAAAUAUUGUGAAGGAGAAUUUUAGCCUUUACAAAAGAUUUAGGAACUUUAUUGUCUUUUCUUGAUGUCAUUGAGUAAAGGCCUACCUUUAACUUCAUUUUUAAAACUUAAAUGUUGCUUGCUUUUUUCAUCACUGCCUGUUUGGUUUAUAAUACAAACUCACUAACCAUUAGAAGUUUUAUUUUUCUUUUUCCUCUUGACAAUAUAUUCUUGUUGGAGCUACAGUGUUUCUUAUAGACCAUUCGGUUAGGUGAUUUUCAUUUCCUAUUGAUACAGGUUCCACCAAGUAGAUGGCGAUGAUUUGACAAUUGUUGUUAAUUAUUGGUGGUGCUCCAGCACAAUGUCUAGCUUUGCAGACCAUAUGAAGGCAUAUUAUUUGCACAAAAUGUUUUUAAUAUUUUUGCUUUUUAAAAUAUUUUUUAUCCUUACCAUAUUUGCCUAUGAAAAUGAUUCUAUUAAUCACUAUUAAUAUUGUAAGCUAACUUGAGUUUCUGUUUCUCAUGGAAUGAACUUGUUAUGUGAAGGUUGACAGACAGAGAAAAGGUAUGCAUGCUGCUAUGCUUUUUGCUGCAGUUAUGUUUUUGAUUCUUGGUUGGGCCAACACUCCUCUUGUCUGGUCAUUUCAACAUUCUAUGAUACACUGUAUGCUUAUUGGUGAAUCUUUAUUCUUGAUUGUGACUUCUAUCCGAAUUGUAGUCUUUGAGUUUGCAGAACUUUUACCCAUCUCCAGAAUUGUAAUUUUAGAUAUUUUUCUUUGCAUUAAUAGCUCAUUUAAAGAACGGAAACUGUUUUCUUAGAAAUUUGGGUUUAAAUCAUGUAUUGGUCCAGGCAAAUCCAUUAUAUGUAAAAUAAGAGAUAAAUAAAUCGAAAUGCUUUUAAUGAUCUUAUUGACCCGACCAGGAAUUUUUAUCUUGUAGCUGUAUCUUGUACGGAAGCUUGAACUUUUUGGUGGAAGAUAUAAUUCUUCAUCUGCUUUCUGAACUGUUUUUUAAUCUCAUCAAUUCUUAGGGAGAUAAGCAGCACUGUUCUUAUGUUUUACCACUUUUUCUUUAUUUCUGUGGAUUGAAAUGUACUACAUUAUUUGCUUGUUCAGUUGUCCCAGGUCCAUCAGCAACUGAGUUGUGCGUUCUAUCAGGAAAGGACCAAGUACUUCUCUAGGGUUCUUCUGCUAUGUGGAGACAGGAGAGAAAUAUACCAGAGAAGCCAUGUAACAAAGUUCAGUAUCUAAUAAGCAUGCUGACUUUCUUAAAAAACAAGAAAAGAUAAACAUUCUGAGAAACCUAUGUUAUGUUUUUAUUUGGUCAUGUUAUUCUUUUAAUUGAUAAGGAAAUGAAAGCCACUGAUAUAUCAAAUUAUCUCAUCAGAGUUUUAUAAACUAAAUCUUCAGUGAACUUUUGAUAUCUUGUUGCUUAUCUCUAACCAGUGUGGACUAGAAACAUGAUAGAUGAUGAAUUAGGCAGCAUUGGUUAAUGUGAUAAACAGCGUUGUUCUUAUGUUUCGCCACUUAUUCUGAAAUUUUGUGGAUUGAAAUGUACUAGUCUCUGCUUGUUCAGUUGUUACUUUCCUUUUCAUUUUCCUGGGUCCAUCAACCACUGAGUUAGGUAUUCUAUUAGGACAGGACCAAGUACUUCUCAAGGGUUCUACUGUUAUGUAGAGACAGCAGAGAAAUAUACCUGAGCAGCCAUGUAACAAAGGUCAGUUUCUGACAAAGCAUGCUUGACUUUCACCAAAAACAAGAAAAGAUAAACAUUCCGAGAAAUCUACUGUUUUGCUUCGUCAUGUUGUCCUUUAGAUUUUUCUUUUAAUUGAUAAUGAAAUGAAAGCCGCUAAUAUUGUUUUGCUUGCAUUCUGUGUGAAUUAAACUUGAUAAUUUUUUCAGUAGAUCAUUUUGAUUAUAGCUUGGAUUAGGCUAGCCAGAGAAGGGAUUUGAAAGGGAAGGAACAACAACAUAGCCUUCUUUUGCAUGAAUUGGAACCCUAUGCUGUCCAGGCUUUUCAUCAACUAGUUGCUCUAGCUCAUGACCAGGUUAAUACUUCUGAUUAAAGCCUACCUGCAUUGUCUACUUCAACAAAUGGUUUGAUGUGUUAUGCAACAGAUGAGCAAAAUAAAACUUUAAUUACUGAAACAUUUCAUUUAGAAGAUGAUCCAGUAGCUAAAAUUUUCUGGAUCCUUGAACUGGGCAUCUUUCAGGAUUUGUUUCUUGCAAUGGUGGUGAGCUUGCAUUCUCCUACAAACGUUGUUACACUUUCAGUAUGCGCCUGGAAUUUGCACUAAUGCUGUUUUAAAUUUUUUUGAAUUUGGAAACUAUUUUUCUGAGCUAUUCUUCCUAUAUUUUAUUUUUAUUUUAAAAUUGAAGAAGUUAUGUCUAAUCUUAAUGGUUGGUGGCAUUGGUGCUUGUCCAAGCAAGGAUUCUGUCCUGUUCUAACACUUGUUGUGGAAAACAAAAUAUGAAAAAAUUGGAUUCUGCAUGAAAGAACUUGAAACAAUAGCUUGAUGAAUGGUUACCUAUCAAAUUUCAUUGCAAAUCGCACUCUAUUAUUCUUUUUACUAUAAUAAAUUGACUUGAUUUCUUUCAUUCUACCUUGCUGGAUUUCUUUGUUCUCUUACUUUUUUAUUAAGAAAUAGUUAGUUAACCAUUUGUGCUGUAUCACUUUCCAGCACAACUUCCCCCGAACUUUGGAAGCUCUAAUGCUUCUGAUCAAAAUCAACCAGUGUUGUUUAAUUCAACAAAUGGUUUGAUGUGUUAUGCAAGAGAUAAGCAAAAUAAACUUUAAUGACUAAAGUAUAUCAUUUAGAAGAUGAUCCGGUACCUAAAAUGCUCUGGAUCCUUGAACCUGGCAUCUUUCAGGAUUUAUUUCCCACAAUGUUGGUGGGUUUGCAAUCUCAUAGAAACAUUGUUACACUUUCAUUAUGUGCCUUGAAUUUUCAUAAUGCUAUUUUGAAUUAUGUUGAAUUUGGGAACUAUUUUCUUGAGCUAUUCUUCCUAUAUUAUUAUUUUUGUUUUAAAAUUGAAGAAGUUAUGUUGCAUCUACUCCUGAAUUGGUGCUUGUCCAAGUAAGGCUUCUGUCCUGUUCUAAUGCUUGUUGUGGAAAACAAAAUAUGAGAAAAUUGGAUUCUGGAUGAAGGAAUUUAAACAAUAGUAUGAUGAAUGGGUUACCUGUCAAAUUUUAUUGUAACUCACCUUCUAUUGUUCUUUUUACUAUUCUAAAUUGACUUGCUUUCUUUCAUUCUACCUUGCUGGUUUUCUUUGUUCUCUCUUCUAUUAAGGAAUAGUUAUCCAUUCUUGUUCUAUCACUUUCCAACACAACUUCCCCUGUACUUUAGAAGCUCUUAUACUGCACUUCCUUUCACCUGUGGGGCAGAAGUCCUUACACAAAAAUUUGAUGAGAUAGAUAAGCAGAACUCUUAAGAAGAUCAAUCUGUACAUGUUAAUUUUUGCAGGGUGAUCUCGAGAUAGUAAAUUGAUGAUUUGAUUCCGCAUGAAGGAACUUAAAACAAUAGCUUGAUGAAUGGCUUACCUAUCAAAUUUUACUCUAACUCCUCUAUUGUUCUUUUUACUAUUCUAAAUUGACUUGCUUUCUUUCAUUCUACCUUGCUAGUUUUCUUUUUUCUCUUUUUUAUUGAUGGAAUAGCUGCCCAUUUGUGUUCUAUCACUUUCCAGCACAACUUCCCCUGAACUUUUGAAGCUCUAAUACUGCACUUGCUUUUACUGGUGGGGGCAGAAUCCUCACUCAAAAAUUUGAUGAGAUAGAUAAGCAGAACACUAAAGAUCAGUACAUGUUAUUAUUAUUAUUUUCUGAACAAAUACAUGUUAAUUUUUCUUGGGUUCUGAUUUAGUUUUUCAUUUCUAAUUAAUGUAGUGGUUUUUGGCAUCACUAUGUUAUUCAUAUUCAUGAUUUCAGGAACAAAUUCUACCAGGUCUUCUAUGGUGUAUUUGAUAACCAAUUUGCAGCUAUGGAUGCCAUUCUAAACAGGAAAGAAACAUUUGCACAUCAGGUGAUGCUUUGACCUUGUAUAACUUUUUCUUUCAGAACAGAAUAUAAGUAGUUAUCAUUUUAUGGUUUCUGAGAUUUGAGAUAUAAGGAAAAAUUUUCUGCUCAAAUACAAGUCCAAGAAAUGUUUUAUUUAAGUUUAAUUUUCUUAUGUGGAUGGGGAGAGGGAGAGGUGGAUGGGUAGUUUGAGCUGAUUGGAGGAAUAAAUACAAUCCUCAUCCAGAACUACGUGUUGGUUAAUGUAAAUGGUUUUUCAUAUCAGUCCAUCAUUGUGGUUUACUAUGACAGGCCUAAUUGGAAUUGCACAAAGGAUAAAAAUUUUGUUGUUCAAGGUUGGUUUUAAUUCUUUGGUUUUCACAUUUUUUUCAUCAGCAAGAGAUUCAAAUUUGUUAGUAGAUGGGUGAGACAAUGCAAACAACAUGGAAGCUUGCUAGGUUUAUUCUCGCCAUCCUUCUGCAAUUAUUAUCUCUUUUGCUGAGUUUUUCAGUUAUGAGUCAAGUGUUGAAAACCCUGUCCCCUCGUGGCUUUGAUAGAUGAAAAAGAGGUCAUCAUCUGAUUCUACUCAUACUGCUCUGGAUUAUUUCAAAUAAAGUUGCUCUUUGGACCUUUGUGCCCAAUCAUGUUAAUUUUUAUUUUUGUGCAUCGUCAUCAAAAUUGCGAUUCUAUUAGGUAUUGUUUAGGCUUUGUCUUUCCCUUCUUACAGCUGUGCAGAAUAAAUCUGAUUUAAAACUUUGAAUUACUUAAUUAUGGUUUUCUGAUCCAUCACCUUUCACCACCCCCCCCCCCCAAACAAAAAAGCUGGAGUCUUUAACUUUCCUUAUAGCUGCACUUAUUUUCAUUGUCCUUUUUGUUCUUUCCCAUCAUUAUUACAUCAGCGUUUAUGCAUGUUUAUUGCUUUAGCAUGUUUUACAAUGGCCAUGUUUGCACAAGGGCACACAUCAACAUCAUGCAGGUUGACUGUAAAUUCUUCCAAGCUUACCAAAUAAUAUUUUGGUGCAUAUGUUUUGAAGGUUUUGGAAUCUUUUCUGUGAGAAAAUUGACAAUCCAAAGUAUAGUAAAUUUUAUUGAAUUAUGAUGCAUCAUACUCCCAACAGAGAUUAAAUUCUGAACUUUUGCAUUCUUAGUCUUAUACUUUUGUGUUGAAGGCAUUCAAAAAUUUAUUGGAUAAAUACUUGGGAGGGAAUUUUGAUGUACCAAACCUGUGUGUUGGGCGAGACAUCUCGUGACACAUUCUUCUUUAGAGAAUUAGUCUCAAGGUGAUCUGGAAAUAGCAAAUCAAUGCAUAUUUAAUCUCAGAUGCUUUCUGUUGCAAUCAGUACUUUUACAUGUAAGUCAACAACUAUUUUGUAGAAUAUAAAUCAUGACAAACCUUGAAUAGAGCAGCAUAUCUCGGUUAAGCUUAGAUCCUGUAUGAUUCAAAUUACAAAGCUCUUCCCGUUGCCUUUUCUGAAUGUUUCAUUAAGAUUGUGUUGCUAGCAUAAACAUUUUUAGAGAAAGAAUCCCUUGUACAUGAACUAGAUGAAAAUGGUGAGCAUGAUGCCGGGUGUAGUUAAUUUAACUUGAGAUAAGUAUCUGCUUAGUGGAACACUGAUGUGCAUUAAGGAGAAGAAAAGUAGGGGGACAGCAGUCUUCCUAGAAGUUAACCACAUCCACGCACAAUGACACCAACCUGCAUUAUUUUAUUGUUGAAAUGGGCAUUAAGAUUGCCAUGAUGCGGUGGACUUUCCUUAAUGAGUUUAUUAGAAAUGACCAUUAGUAGUGAGGAAAUGAGGACCCCUUCUACUCAUAUUGGAUCGUAUCUAUUGUGAAUCUCUUUGUUGUAGUCCCUUUCUUGUAACUAUCUUUUGCUGAGCUUCUAUUUGCUAAGUUUUAAAGUUUUUAUUCAUGAAAAUAGCAAGUAUUAAUGAAAAUGGGCUUUUAAAGUUAUUGGCUUUAGCAACAGGGUAGAAAGGUGCUUUUAUUUUUAUAUAUUUAGGAUGAAGAAAGUCAUACAAAAUAUCUGUUUCAUAUAUUCAUUUGUCGUGCGAAUGUUAAUACUGAGAGGGAGGGGAAUUGCAGCAGAGGGUAAAAGAAAAGAAAAAGCACAGAAAGGAAGGGUUUGUUAAUCAUUAGGAUUGGAAGGGAAGCCAAGGGAAGGAAAGAGGGCAAAAGUAAGGUUUACUGAGAUGACACAUGCAAGUGCCGUUGAGAGAGGAAAGGGGAAAGAGGAAAGAAGUGGGAAUAGAAGAGAAGCUUUUGGUUUUGCGCAGAAGGGAGAUAAUAAUAAUAAUAAAAAAGAACAAAAAAAAAGGGCAGUCUUUUUUAGUGGGCAAAUGGCAUGUAUAUUGUAUCUUAACCCUGCAACUAUCACAUACUUCCCAAAAGCUUGGAUAUACCCAUGAGCACUGAACUUCUACUUUCACUAAUCCCAAGGCUCUCCUCUCUCUCAAUGUCUGGUUGUAUAUACUAACAAGGAUUUGCUAUAAUCUUUUUUAUUUUUUUAGGAGGUUAAAGUUGUUAAUGAAUUGGAUUGAUCUCCUAACAAUUGACAGACAACCCAUUUGUUACUAAGCAAAGUUGAACUGCUCUCUUUAACCUGAAUUGAUGCUUUUAACUAUUUGUUAUUAGGCAAAGUUGAGCUACUAUCUCUAACUUGGGUUGGUGCAUUUUACUAAUUACAGCUCUGGUCAGUAGCCCAAAAUCAAUUUCAUGCUUACCCUUCAAUCUCAUAAUAAAUAAUUUUGUGUAGACGUGUAAGACCUCGAAACAUUCAGAUGCCAGAUGCAGAUGGGAUGGAUCGGGUGGGUCACGCAAUCAAAGCAGGGAAGCAGAUGCCUAAUUUUAUUUGGAUUUUGGACUUCAUAUCAUGUAAGUUCAGCUGCCAGCCGAAGGCUUGUGAUAUGGGGACAGGCACAGAAACUGAUAAAGGUGCAACAGGGAAAAAAAGACUGAAUUAUUGAUUCAAACGUUCAAAGUUCCAUCGAGCAUCUUUUUCAUAACCGUUGACAUUUUUUCAUCUCUCAUUCAUUCCUCUUCUGUGUCCUUCUUUUUAUUUAUUUUUUUCUCUUUUGUUUCCUUCUGGUUUAGUACCACUACGUCCUGGACCACCAAAACGUAAACGCAAUUUCACAUAACCUUUUCACUCACGCUUACAAACAAGUUUUACAGCCCCUACCCAACCCUCCCUCUUUAGAAAAGGCUUCAUACUUCUUUAGUAUAUAGUAUUUUCCAAUUUCUUUCUUACUAUCCCAAAAGAAAGUGAUUGGGGAAAAUUUUUUUCUUGGAAAUUGAUUACCAACCAGUCCUUACGUGGAAUUCGAAUUGUGAGGAGGAAAGGAAAAAAAAGAUGUGAUUGAAUUUGCAAAGAAAUGGUCACAUAUCAUAUGGUUUGGUAACUCUGGUUCUGGCAGUCAAUUACGUUCACUUGCAUUAGUCAAUAGAUUCGAUAUUAAUGAUCUAUUAUAUUGCGAUUAGUUAUUUUAUUUUAAUUCCAUCUUUUAAAUGUUCUCUUUUUCUCAAGAGGUUUUUGUAACUCUUUGG
Non-coding RNA from Durio zibethinus, 9079 nucleotides. The record is from RefSeq and is a predicted model, not a curated record. NCBI's taxonomy places the organism in Eukaryota, Viridiplantae, Streptophyta, Magnoliopsida, Malvales, Malvaceae.